RNAcentral lists this ribosomal RNA (253 nucleotides) under uncultured bacterium. Its description in RNAcentral is "partial 16S ribosomal RNA". It matches the Rfam family "Bacterial small subunit ribosomal RNA", at positions 524 to 776 of the family's 1533-position model. The record is from RNAcentral.
UACGUAGGGUGCAAGCGUUGUCCGGAAUUAUUGGGCGUAAAGAGCUCGUAGGCGGUCUGUCGCGUCUGCUGUGAAAAUCCAAGGCUCAACCCUGGACCUGCAGUGGGUACGGGCAGACUAGAGUGCGGUAGGGGAGAUCGGAAUUCCUGGUGUAGCGGUGAAAUGCGCAGAUAUCAGGAGGAACACCGGUGGCGAAGGCGGAUCUCUGGGCCGUAACUGACGCUGAGGAGCGAAAGCAUGGGGAGCGAACAGG